This 163-nucleotide ribosomal RNA is filed under the name Lespedeza lichiyuniae. RNAcentral describes it as "5.8S ribosomal RNA". It matches the Rfam family "5.8S ribosomal RNA". Rfam says of the family: 5.8S ribosomal RNA (5.8S rRNA) is a component of the large subunit of the eukaryotic ribosome. The record is from RNAcentral. Lineage: Eukaryota; Viridiplantae; Streptophyta; Magnoliopsida; Fabales; Fabaceae.
GAAUGACUCUCGACAAUGGAUAUCUCAGCUCUCGCAUCGAUGAAGAACGUAGGGAAAUGCGAUACUUGGUGUGAAUUGUAGAAUCCCAUGAACCAUUGAGUCUUUGAACGCAAGUUGCGCCCGAAGCCAUUAGGCCGAGGGCACGCCUGCCUGGGUGUCACAC